GACUCUCGGCAACGGAUAUCUCGGCUCACGCAUCGAUGAAGAACGUAGCAAAAUGCGAUACUUGGUGUGAAUUGCAGAAUCCCGUGAACCAUCGAGUUUUUGAACGCAAGUUGCGCCCAAAGCCAUCCGGUUGAGGGCACGCCUGCCUGGGCGUCACGC
Molecule: ribosomal RNA, 159 nt
Filed under: Tragopogon dubius
Lineage: Eukaryota; Viridiplantae; Streptophyta; Magnoliopsida; Asterales; Asteraceae
Also listed under: 2 other names
Description: partial 5.8S ribosomal RNA
Rfam family: 5.8S ribosomal RNA
About the family: 5.8S ribosomal RNA (5.8S rRNA) is a component of the large subunit of the eukaryotic ribosome. It is transcribed by RNA polymerase I as part of the 45S precursor that also contains 18S and 28S rRNA.
Source: RNAcentral